UGAGAGUCAGUUCUUAUGACUAGUACUGGGCACAUAAGGUGGCAAGACCCCCUUAUCCCCAUUUUUAGUUCUUGGCAAGUCCCCCUUUGACUCCAGGUUGCUAAGCACAGCUAUGCAGGUUGCACACUACAUACCCCAUCUCCACAGACUCACUCACUCACUCUUCUCCUGUGCAGGGAGGAGUUAGGGUGGCGUUUCGGGCAGAUCAUUAUGGCAAAUGGAGUUUGCAGCAGGACUAACAGGGUCACCUUCAGGGUCCUGGAUGAAGUUCAUUCUUUCAGGGCCACAGAAGCGUAGAAAACUCUUUAGUCAUAAGUUGGUGGGGGUGCCAAGAGGAAAGGCACAGCAGAGAAUGCUAAGAGCCUAAGGAUGUGACUGGAGAAUCUCCUGAAGUUAUAGAUCCUGCAGGCAGGGCUGGCUUCAGGGAAGUGCAACCUGUGCAGUCGCACUGGUCCACAUGCUUGGAAGAGGCCCCUUAUUUUCACUUUGCACUGAGUCCUCAAGUUACAUGACUGGUCAGUCCUACCCCAUAAGGCAUGGAUUGCAAAGGAGAACAAAGAAUCCACGGAGGUGAUCGACUUUGAGGUGAAGCUGGGAGAGGAAGAUGAUGGUGCCAUCAACAGAAAAAGGCUUUGAUGACUCAGGCUGCCAUACUGAAGAUGCCCACAUGGCCAGGAGCUGGGACCUUUAUUCUAACAACCCUCAAGCAGCUGAAUCCUGCCAAUAAUCAUGUGAGCUUGGAUGUGGGUCCUUCCCUACUUGAACCUUCAGAUGAGACCCCAGCCCCAGCUGAUACUUUGACUGCAGCUUUGUGAGAGACCCUGAGACAGAGGACCGAGAUGAGCCAUGCCUUGGCUGCUGGCCCACAAAAACUGUGAGAUCAAAAUGAUGUGUUGUUUUAAGCCAUUAACUGUGUGGUAACUUGUCAAACAGUGUAUUAGGCCAUUUGUGUUGCUACAAAGGAAUACCCGAGGCUGAGUAGUUUAUUAAGAAAAGAGGUUUAAUUGGCUUAUGGUUCUGCAGGCAAUAUGAGAAGCAUGGUGCCAAUAUCUGCUUGGCUUCUGGUGUGGCCUCAAGAAGCUUACAAUCACAGCGGAAGGUGACAGGGAGCCAGCAUGUUACAUGGCAAGAACAGGAACAAGAGAGAGGAGAGGGAGCCAGGUUCUUUUAAACAGCCAGCUCUCCAGUGAAUCAGCAGAGCAAGAACUCACGCAUUGCCAUAGGGAGGGCACCAAGGCAUUCAUGAGGGACCCACUCCCAUGACCUAAAUACCCCCACAAGGCCCAGCUUCCAACAUGGGGAUUACAUUUUAAGAUGAAACUUGGAGGGGACAAAACAUCCAAGCCAUAUUCCAUAGCAACAGGUAACCAAUACACCACAUGUACCAAAGCCUUGGUCCAAGGCCCUGUCUUCAUAGAGCCCAGGCUGUCCUGCGGUCUGCACUGAGCUCACCCUCCAGGAGGCAUACUAGAGAUCUUUGCACCUCCUUCUCCUCUUACCCACAGGACAGAUAUCUUGGCCAGUCUUUCUGAAUGCCCAGCUGUCCGAGGAUGCCUUUCUUUGCUUUUCCCCUCUGUAUGGGGGCUGGAGGCAGGUGAACCCCUUGAUGAACAGGGUCUCUCUCCUGGGUUUUGCCCAGUUGCAGUUCACACCCCCUUCCCCAUGCUUUGUGCCUGUCUCCCAGUUGCUGGGUGGUCAGGGGAGACUCUGCAGAAGGGGCAGGUGCCUGUGCCUCUGGAUGGUUCCACUGAAGAACUGAUGUAAGGGAUGACGUGUGGGGACUGUAGGGCUUCCAGGAUCAGGAAGCGGGUGAUGGAAGCACCUAGGCAAUAUGGCCCCAAGCUCCUGAAGACCACCUUCUCCCGUCUCCCUCCUCUCAGCCCCAAAACAACAGACAAGCAAACCUACCCUGAAACAGUGUCGUCACUGCACGAGGCACUGUGCCCAUGCAAUAUCCCAUCCGGUGCCAGCCUUGGAGGGAGGUGUCUUCAUGCCCCUUUAACAGAUGGGAAAGGCAGCAUGGUAAGUGACUGCUGGGAAGUCACAGGGCAGCAUUCGGCCCAGGUCUGUCACACUCCAAAGUCUGCGAGCUCUUCAGAUUCCACUUGGAAGGCUCCUCCCCUUGGCCUAAUGUCUCAGGCACACAGCAGCCAACUCAAGACGAGGGUCCCUAUUUGGGGAGUCUGGAUCCGUGUUUCGCAGUGUGGUCAGUCCAUGGGCCAAUCGCAUCAGCAUCAGUGUCUCCUGGGGUCUUGCCAGCAACCACAGAUCCCCAGGCUCACCCCAGACCUGCUGUCUCAGCCAGCUAGGGCUGCUGUAACUACAGACCACAGACUGGGGCUUAAACAACAGGCAUUGAUUUUCUCAUUGUUCUGGAGGCUGAAAGCCUGAGAUCAGGGAGCCAGCAUGGUCGGGGGUUGGGGAUGCUCUCUUCCAAGGUUGUAGAGGGCUGCCUUCUCAAUAUGUCCUCACAUGGUGGGGUGGGGUGGGAUGGGGAGGGAGAGAGAGAGAGAAGGGGAAAAAGAAGGGGAGAGAGAAAUAAGGAGAGAGAGAGAGGGACAGAGAGAGAGGAAGAGAAAGAGAGGGGGAGAGGCCGGGCGUGGUGGCUCAUGGCUGUAAUCCCAGCACUUUGGGAGGCUGAGGAGGACAGAUUGCCUGAGCUCAGGAGUUCGAGACCAGCCUGGGCAACAUAGUGAAACCCCAUCUCUACAAAAAAGAAUAUAUAUGUAUACACAUAUAUAAAAACACAAACAUUAGCCGGGCAUGGUGGUGCAUGCCUGUAAUCCCAGCUUCUCAGGAGGCUGAAGCAGGAGAAUCACUUGAACCCGGGAGGCCAAGGCUGCAGUGAGCCGAGAUCGUGCCACUGCACUCCAGCCUGGGUGACAGAAUGAGACUCCUUCCCAUCCAAAAAAAAAAGAAAGAGGGAGAGAGAGAGAGAGAAAGAGGGAGAGAGAGAAAGGG
This 2961-nucleotide long non-coding RNA is filed under the name Homo sapiens (human). RNAcentral's name for it is "non-protein coding LINC02074:17". Lineage: Eukaryota; Metazoa; Chordata; Mammalia; Primates; Hominidae. The record is from RNAcentral.